UACGUAGGGGGCAAGCGUUGUCCGGAAUUAUUGGGCGUAAAGAGCAUGUAGGCGGUCCGGUAAGUCAGCUGUGAAAGUCAAGGGCUCAACCCUUGAAAGCCGGUUGAUACUGUCGGGCUAGAGUCCGGAAGAGGCGAGUGGAAUUCCCGGUGUAGCGGUGAAAUGCGCAGAUAUCGGGAGGAACACCAAUGGCGAAGGCAGCUCGCUGGGACGGUACUGACGCUGAGACGCGAAAGCGUGGGGAGCAAACAGG
RNAcentral lists this ribosomal RNA (253 nucleotides) under uncultured bacterium. Its description in RNAcentral is "partial 16S ribosomal RNA". It matches the Rfam family "Bacterial small subunit ribosomal RNA", at positions 524 to 776 of the family's 1533-position model. The record is from RNAcentral.